RNAcentral lists this ribosomal RNA (468 nucleotides) under uncultured bacterium. RNAcentral describes it as "partial 16S ribosomal RNA". It matches the Rfam family "Bacterial small subunit ribosomal RNA", at positions 28 to 507 of the family's 1533-position model. The record is from RNAcentral.
GACGAACGCUGGCGGCGUGCUUAACACAUGCAAGUCGAACGGAAAGGCCCUGCUUUUGUGGGGUGCUCGAGUGGCGAACGGGUGAGUAACACGUGAGUAACCUGCCCUUGACUUUGGGAUAACUUCAGGAAACUGGGGCUAAUACCGGAUAGGAGCUCCUGCUGCAUGGUGGGGGUUGGAAAGUUUCGGCGGUUGGGGAUGGACUCGCGGCUUAUCAGCUUGUUGGUGGGGUAGUGGCUUACCAAGGCUUUGACGGGUAGCCGGCCUGAGAGGGUGACCGGCCACAUUGGGACUGAGAUACGGCCCAGACGCCUACGGGAGGCAGCAGUGGAGAAUAUUGCACAGUGGGCGGGAGCCUGAUGCAGCAACGCCGCGUGCGGGAUGACGGCCUUCGAGUUGUAAACCGCUUUCGCCGGUGACGAAGCGUGAGUGACGGUAAUGGGUAAAGAAGCACCGGCUAACUACGUG